This is a long non-coding RNA of Rhodamnia argentea, 749 nucleotides long. RefSeq lists it as uncharacterized. The transcript has 2 exons. The record is from RefSeq and is a predicted model, not a curated record. NCBI's taxonomy places the organism in Eukaryota, Viridiplantae, Streptophyta, Magnoliopsida, Myrtales, Myrtaceae.
GAUUCUCAGGUCGAGCUGUGCAGAAAAAGUGCUUUGAGCAUGAAAGAAGAGUUGCACGAUUGCGAUAGUACUCUGACAAAUGGGUCUCCUAGCAAUAUCUCUAGUGGUUCGGGAAGCUUGGACGAUAACUUUGAGGAUUGCGUCAAGACCAUCAGGGAACUUGAAUGCCGGGGUCACAUUAAUCAAGAAUUCAGGCUGAAAUUUUUAACGUGGUUCAGCCUAAGAUCCACGGAGCAGGAACGGAGAGUGGUUAACACCUUUGUUCAGGCUCUGAGUGAUGACCGAAGUAGCUUAGCAGGACAGUUGGUUGACACCUUCUCAGAUGUGGUAUCUAGCAAAAGGCCGAGGAACGGGUUCUGCAAUAGGCAUUUUUUUCCGCCCCCCUAAACCUCAGUCUGAAGCAAAUUCAUCCGUAUUCUAGGAGAAGCAUGCUGCCAACAAGAUUGUGGUGGCUGAUUCUGCAGAUAUUUCCGACCAUUCUUGCCGGGAAGUGGCUGCUUGCACUGGAGAAGGCAUUUUCGUACAUUCGGUUCAUUUGCAUUCGAAGCCCUAAAAGUUAGCUUUAGGGAUAUUGUUAGGGGUACAGUUAUUGGUUGCCUUUUCAUAUGGAAAAGGUGACAUGAAUGGCUCAAGAAUUCAGUUGAUUAGGUUCUUAUCUCCUUCUCCUAUUUUUUCCCCCUUUUCAAUUGAGGAUGUGAUCUCAUUCUCCUUCUUCCUUUAAUGAUUAAUGACUGUCUUUAAAAGUUGUU